RNAcentral lists this long non-coding RNA (1157 nucleotides) under Salmo salar (Atlantic salmon). RNAcentral describes it as "lncRNA (ENSSSAG00000091468.1)". The record is from RNAcentral. Lineage: Eukaryota; Metazoa; Chordata; Actinopteri; Salmoniformes; Salmonidae.
GGUGAAUAGGAGUGGGUAUAAGUAGUGAAUAGGAGUGGGUAUAAGUAGUGAAUAGGAGUGGGUAUAAGCAGUGAAUAGGAGUGGGUAUAAGUAUUGAAUAGGAGUGGGUAUAAGUAGUGAAUAGGAGUGGGUAUAAGUAGUGAAUAGGAGUGGGUAUAAGUAGUGAAUAGGAGUGGGUAUACAUAGUGAAUAGGAGUGGGUAUAAGUGGUGAAUAGGAGUGGGUAUAAGCAGUGAAUACGAGUGGGUAUAUGUAGUGAAUAUGAGUGUGUAUAAGUGGUGAAUAGGAGUGGUUAUAUGUAGUGAAUAGGAGUGGGUAUAAGUAGUGAAUAGAUGUGGGUAUAAGUGGUGAAUAGGAGUGGGUAUAUGUAGUGAAUAUGAGUGUGUAUAAGUGGUGAAUAGGAGUGGUUAUAUGUAGUGAAUAGGAGUGGGUAUAAGUAGUGAAUAGGAGUGGGUAUAAGUGGUGAAUGUUCUGUUAUAAUCGUCACCCGGCACAGCCAGAAGAGGACUGGUCCACCCCUCAGAGCCUGGUUCCUCUCUAGGUUUCUUCAUAGGUUCUGGCCUUUCUAUGGAGUUUUUCCUAGCCACCGUGCUUUGUUUGCUGUUUGGGGUUUUAGGCUGGGUUUCUGUUCAGCACUUUGAGAUAUCAGCUGAUGUAAGAAUGGCUUUAUGAAUUCAUUUGAUUGAUUGAUUGAUUGAUUGAUUGAUUGAUAAUGAAUAGGAGUGGGUAUAAGAAGUGAGAAAAGGAGAGCCAUAAAUGACAUGACAUUAAACACUAGAGGGCAGCAGACAGGGCACCACAGACCAAAUGGAAACGUUGUGCCUUCCAUUUCUACAAAUCUCUUGUCUGGAGUCUAUUUUACAAGCCUGUUGAGCUAAGAAUAGAUUUGCAAAACACCUGGUAAUUUACAAAAGUGGCCAUUUUUUUUUCUUCAUUUUACAGGUAAUUUUGGAAAUCUAUGGAAAUAAUAAUUUAAAAAAUAUAUAUUUUAUAUACUUUCUAUUUUCAGUUAAUUCCUUGAAUGUUUUCAACAUUCUGGUAGCUUACUGGUAAAUGUUGGUAGUUUACUGGUACAUUUAGAAAGUUACCAGUAAAACUCCAAACCCUAUGAAGAACCUAUUUUUCAAGAUGACAGCAAGAACAAAUAAGCAUUUUUCU